CGACUAAGCGCAUACGGUGGAUGCCUUGGCAGUCAGAGGCGAUGAAAGACGUGGAAGCCUGCGAUAAGGCUCGGGGAGCUGGCAAACAAGCUGUGAUCCGGGCAUCUCUGAAUGGGGAAACCCACCGGUCUUCGGACCGGUACCGUACGGUGAAUACAUAGCCGUACGGGGCGAACUCGGGGAACUGAAACAUCUAAGUACCCGAAGGAAAGGACAUCAAUUGAGACUUCCCUAGUAGCGGCGAGCGAACGGGAACCAGGCCAGUGUCUCUUCAUGAGUCAGCGGAACGAUCUGGAAAGUUCGGCCAUAGCGGGUGAUAGCCCCGUACGUUAAAGCGACUGAAGAGACCUCGAGUAGGGCGGGACACGUGAAAUCCUGUCUGAACAUGGGGGGACCACCCUCCAAGCCUAAAUACUCGUAUGUGACCGAUAGCGAACCAGUACCGUGAGGGAAAGGUGAAAAGCACCCCGACGAGGGGAGUGAAACAGACCCUGAAACCGGACGCCUACAAGCAGUCGGAGCCGCCUUGCGCGGUGACGGCGUACCUUUUGUAUAAUGGGUCAGCGACUUUGUCUCUCGAGCAAGCUUAAGCCGGUAGGUGUAGGCGCAGCGAAAGCGAGUCUGAACAGGGCGACGAGUUCGAGGGAUAAGACCCGAAACCGAGUGAUCUAGCCAUGUGCAGGUUG
This 686-nucleotide ribosomal RNA is filed under the name Kryptoperidinium foliaceum. RNAcentral's name for it is "partial Bacterial large subunit ribosomal RNA". It matches the Rfam family "Bacterial large subunit ribosomal RNA", at positions 1 to 747 of the family's 2925-position model. The record is from RNAcentral. Lineage: Eukaryota; Dinophyceae; Peridiniales; Kryptoperidiniaceae.